GGGGAUUUAGCUCAGCGGUAGAGCACUUGCCUAGCAAGUGCAAGGUCCUGGGUUCGGUCCCCAGCUCCG
RNAcentral lists this transfer RNA (69 nucleotides) under Rattus norvegicus (Norway rat). It matches the Rfam family "tRNA". Rfam says of the family: Transfer RNA (tRNA) molecules are approximately 80 nucleotides in length. Their secondary structure includes four short double-helical elements and three loops (D, anti-codon, and T loops). The record is from Rfam by way of RNAcentral. Lineage: Eukaryota; Metazoa; Chordata; Mammalia; Rodentia; Muridae.